AUCAAUAAAUAAUCGUGCGGAUUAUACAAUCCAGGACUAUAAAACCGUGUUGCUUCCUAUUACGUUUUAACCGUAUUGUCAUACCAGAAGCGUCAAGUCCAUCGGAGAGAUCAUACUCGAGUUCGUCUUAAUGCCCUUUUGUGUUGAACAUUUGUGCUUCCCUUAACGUAUUCUUUAUUGAAUACGCCUAGGGUUCGCCAUUACGUACUUCGCAAGGGCUGGUGGGACUUACAUUU
This 236-nucleotide small nucleolar RNA is filed under the name Nakaseomyces glabratus. RNAcentral's name for it is "Candida glabrata Small nucleolar RNA snR35". It matches the Rfam family "Small nucleolar RNA snR35". The record is from Rfam by way of RNAcentral. Lineage: Eukaryota; Fungi; Ascomycota; Saccharomycetes; Saccharomycetales; Saccharomycetaceae.